Molecule: ribosomal RNA, 245 nt
Filed under: uncultured bacterium
Lineage: Bacteria
Description: partial 16S ribosomal RNA
Rfam family: Bacterial small subunit ribosomal RNA
Source: RNAcentral
UACAGAGGGUGCGAGCGUUGUUCGGAAUUAUUGGGCGUAAAGCGCGUGUAGGCGGCCUAGCAAGUCGGGUGUGAGAGCCCUCGGCUUAACCGAGGAAGUGCGCCCGAAACUACUAGGCUUGAGUACCGGAGAGGAUGGCGGAAUUCCCGGUGUAGAGGUGAAAUUCGUAGAUAUCGGGAGGAACACCAGCGGCGAAGGCGGCCAUCUGGACGGAUACUGACGCUGAGACGCGAAAGCGUGGGGAG